Molecule: ribosomal RNA, 1346 nt
Filed under: uncultured bacterium
Lineage: Bacteria
Description: partial 16S ribosomal RNA
Rfam family: Bacterial small subunit ribosomal RNA
Source: RNAcentral
GACGAACGCCUUUGGCGUGCUUAACACAUGCAAGUCGAACGGAAAGGCCCUGCUUUUGUGGGGUGCUCGAGUGGCGAACGGGUGAGUAACACGUGAGUAACCUGCCCUUGACUUUGGGAUAACUUCAGGAAACUGGGGCUAAUACCGGAUAGGAGCUCCUGCUGCAUGGUGGGGGUUGGAAAGUUUCGGCGGUUGGGGAUGGACUCGCGGCUUAUCAGCUUGUUGGUGGGGUAGUGGCUUACCAAGGCUUUGACGGGUAGCCGGCCUGAGAGGGUGACCGGCCACAUUGGGACUGAGAUACGGCCCAGACUCCUACGGGAGGCAGCAGUGGGGAAUAUUGCACAAUGGGCGGAAGCCUGAUGCAGCAACGCCGCGUGCGGGAUGACGGCCUUCGGGUUGUAAACCGCUUUCGCCUGUGACGAAGCGUGAGUGACGGUAAUGGGUAAAGAAGCACCGGCUAACUACGUGCCAGCAGCCGCGGUGAUACGUAGGGUGCGAGCGUUGUCCGGAUUUAUUGGGCGUAAAGGGCUCGUAGGUGGUUGAUCGCGUCGGAAGUGUAAUCUUGGGGCUUAACCCUGAGCGUGCUUUCGAUACGGGUUGACUUGAGGAAGGUAGGGGAGAAUGGAAUUCCUGGUGGAGCGGUGGAAUGCGCAGAUAUCAGGAGGAACACCAGUGGCGAAGGCGGUUCUCUGGGCCUUUCCUGACGCUGAGGAGCGAAAGCGUGGGGAGCGAACAGGCUUAGAUACCCUGGUAGUCCACGCUGUAAACGGUGGGUACUAGGUGUGGGGUCCAUUCCACGGGUUCCGUGCCGUAGCUAACGCUUUAAGUACCCCGCCUGGGGAGUACGGCCGCAAGGCUAAAACUCAAAGGAAUUGACGGGGCCCCGCACAAGCGGCGGAGCAUGCGGAUUAAUUCGAUGCAACGCGUAGAACCUUACCUGGGUUUGACAUGGAUCGGGAGUGCUCAGAGAUGGGUGUGCCUCUUUUGGGGUCGGUUCACAGGUGGUGCAUGCCUGUCGUCAGCUCGUGUCGUGAGAUGUUGGGUUAAGUCCCGCAACGAGCGCAACCCUUGUUCACUGUUGCCAGCACGUUAUGGUGGGGACUCAGUGGAGACCGCCGGGGUCAACUCGGAGGAAGGUGGGGAUGGCGUCAAGUCAUCAUGCCCCUUAUGUCCAGGGCUUCACGCAUGCUACAAUGGCUGGUACAGAGAGUGGCGAGCCUGUGAGGGUGAGCGAAUCUCGGAAAGCCGGUCUCAGUUCGGAUUGGGGUCUGCAACUCGACCUCAUGAAGUCGGAGUCGCUAGUAAUCGCAGAUCAGCAACGCUGCGGUGAAUACGUUCCCGGGGCU